Molecule: ribosomal RNA, 462 nt
Filed under: Terrisswalkerius miseriae
Lineage: Eukaryota; Metazoa; Annelida; Clitellata; Crassiclitellata; Megascolecidae
Description: partial 16S ribosomal RNA
Rfam family: Bacterial large subunit ribosomal RNA
Source: RNAcentral
UUAAUGUGUGGUAUCUUCCUGCCCAGUGACGAAAGUUAAACGGCCGCGGUAUCCUAACCGUGCAAAGGUAGCAUAAUCACUUGCCUAUUAAUUGUAGGCUAGAAUGAACGGAAAAACGAAAUAAGAACUGUCUCCGCUACAAAUAUAAAAAUUAAACUUCUUAUGAAGAUAUAAAAAUAGAUUCGAAGGACAAGAAGACCCUACAGAGCUUUAUUUUAACACACUAUAAAGUAUGGAAAAUUUGGUUGGGGCGACCGUGAAAUAUAAAACACUCAAAAAUAUGUAGAUUUAUUAAUCAAUGCAGUGACCCUAAAAAGAGCAAAAGAAAAGCUACCUUAGGGAUAACAGGCUAAUAUUAUUAAAGAGUUCAUAUCAAUAAUAAAGAUUGGCACCUCGAUGUUGGCUUAAGGAAUCAGUAUGGCGCAAAAGCUAUAUAGUGAUGGUUUGUUCCACCAGUUAUCC